Transfer RNA from Hanseniaspora osmophila, 73 nucleotides. It matches the Rfam family "tRNA". Rfam says of the family: Transfer RNA (tRNA) molecules are approximately 80 nucleotides in length. Their secondary structure includes four short double-helical elements and three loops (D, anti-codon, and T loops). The record is from Rfam. Lineage: Eukaryota; Fungi; Ascomycota; Saccharomycetes; Saccharomycodales; Saccharomycodaceae.
GCUUUCGUGGCUCAGUCGGUAGAGCGUCAGUCUCAUAAUCUGAAGGUCGCGAGUUCGAUCCUCGCCGAGAGCA